Stegastes partitus (bicolor damselfish) is the source of this 205-nucleotide long non-coding RNA. RefSeq lists it as uncharacterized. The transcript has 2 exons. NCBI's taxonomy places the organism in Eukaryota, Metazoa, Chordata, Actinopteri, Pomacentridae. The record is from RefSeq and is a predicted model, not a curated record.
GUCUGAGUGACGCCUCCUCUGGUCUCUACAGGAUUAAACAGUGAGAGGCUCCACCUGGUGGAACAACCAGGUACUACAGCUAAACUCAAAAACUUGACUAAAACGUCGACACGUCUCCAGAACGACUCAAAAUUAGUCUGAAGUCCUCAAAACGUGUUCAGAUUUUUUUUAAUUGAAUUGUCAAAAAAACAACAACACACACACA